Molecule: transfer RNA, 63 nt
Filed under: Fasciola hepatica (liver fluke)
Lineage: Eukaryota; Metazoa; Platyhelminthes; Trematoda; Plagiorchiida; Fasciolidae
Description: tRNA-Cys
Source: RNAcentral
GAGCGUGACGCUUUGUGCGUAUUACUUUGCAAAGGUAUUAUAGGUAUUUGAUGCCCUCGCUUU